RNAcentral lists this ribosomal RNA (253 nucleotides) under uncultured bacterium. RNAcentral describes it as "partial 16S ribosomal RNA". It matches the Rfam family "Bacterial small subunit ribosomal RNA", at positions 524 to 776 of the family's 1533-position model. The record is from RNAcentral.
UACGGGGGGGGCAAGCGUUGUUCGGAAUUACUGGGCGUAAAGGGCUCGUAGGCGGCCAACUAAGUCAGACGUGAAAUCCCCAGGCUUAACCUGGGAACUGCGUCUGAUACUGGAUGGCUUGAAUUCGGGAGAGGGAUGCGGAAUUCCAGGUGUAGCGGUGAAAUGCGUAGAUAUCUGGAGGAACACCGGUGGCGAAGGCGGCAUCCUGGACCAACACUGACGCUGAGGAGCGAAAGCCAGGGGAGCAAACGGG